This 502-nucleotide ribosomal RNA is filed under the name uncultured bacterium. Its description in RNAcentral is "partial 16S ribosomal RNA". It matches the Rfam family "Bacterial small subunit ribosomal RNA", at positions 30 to 523 of the family's 1533-position model. The record is from RNAcentral.
AUUGAACGCUGGCGGCAUGCCUUACACAUGCAAGUCGAACGGCAGCACGGGUGCUUGCACCUGGUGGCGAGUGGCGAACGGGUGAGUAAAGUAUCGGAACGUGCCUGGUAGUGGGGGAUAACUAGUCGAAAGACUAGCUAAUACCGCAUACGAUCUAAGGAUGAAAGCAGGGGACCUUCGGGCUCUGUGCUAUCAGAGCGGCCGAUAUCUGAUUAGCUAGUUGGUGGGGUAAAAGCCCACCAAGGCGACGAUCAGUAGCUGGUCUGAGAGGACGACCAGCCACACUGGAACUGAGACACGGUCCAGACUCCUACGGGAGGCAGCAGUGGGGAAUUUUGGACAAUGGGGGCAACCCUGAUCCAGCAAUGCCGCGUGAGUGAAGAAGGCCCUCGGGUUGUAAAGCUCUUUUGUCAGGGAAGAAAAGGCUGUGGCUAAUAUCCACAGCUGCUGACGGUACCUGAAGAAUAAGCACCGGCUAACUACGUGCCAGCCGCCGCCGUAA